Molecule: transfer RNA, 99 nt
Filed under: Streptomyces sp. ADI93-02
Lineage: Bacteria; Bacillati; Actinomycetota; Actinomycetes; Kitasatosporales; Streptomycetaceae
Description: tRNA-Arg
Source: RNAcentral
UGGUGGUGGAGUACCUGGAGGGCGUCGACGACCUUCCGGCGAUCGUGCGGGAGUUCGCGCCCGGCCCGGACGCCCGGCUCGGCGUCCUGGUCGACCACC